Molecule: long non-coding RNA, 600 nt
Organism: Patella vulgata (common limpet)
Lineage: Eukaryota; Metazoa; Mollusca; Gastropoda; Patellidae
Exons: 3
Source: RefSeq, a predicted model, not a curated record
GAAAACUGUUAAACCCAUUAGAAAAGUUAAGAUUGUUCAGAUAAGACAUGGUAGAUGAGUGAGCACCAGAAGAAGAUCCAUCAAUUUAUUGAACUCUACAACAUUAUCAGUAGCAGCAGCUUCAACCAGUUCAGCAAUGACUUCAAGCAGUUCAUUUCAACGAGAACCAGUUAAUCAACCAGCUGUCAGUGAUGUAAAACAAGAAUUCAGUGAUAGAAGACAGAAGAUUUUAUAUGGUUGGAGUGAACUACGUUCAAAACUGGUACAUACUCAUAUUGAGGAGUUGUCACCUGCAACCAGAGUUUGUAGUUGGUGCAGUGAAGUUGUAGAGAACAUUGUUUUUUGUCAGGAUUGUGGUCCUAUGGCGUAUUAUUGCAUGUCUUGUUGCUAUAGUCUUCAUGAGACUGUAAUGUUUCAUUCACCACAAAUUUGGAAGGAAAUCAACAUUGCUGCAAAAUUAAUUUGUGCAGAUGCGAAGAUCCUUGUGUGACACUCAUGAGGUACAGAUUGUGGCCUUCCUCACCACAGAAGCCAAGAAUUGUCUUUGACACGAAGUUUAUGGAACUGAUUGCAUCUCUCCAGUUAGAAUGUCAUGUGCCA